CAUUUUCAUUAUUUUGUGUUCUGAGAAUGAUUACAUUUUCCUUUGUUUUUAUAACUCUCAAACCAUGUUCUUUAUUUUUUUUGAUAUGUAAUAUGGAGGAGUCCACUCCUAACAGGUAACAACAUAUAUAGUUAGUUAUUAACCCUUGGUCCAUUUUAGUUGCAGAAGAUGAAGAAGAAGAGGAACAAUGGAGAAAUGGUGUCAGUUCAGUGUUGACAAAGUAGCUAAAGUGAUAGAGCACAAAAUAAGGAAGAGUCCAAAAAUCAGAUGAUGAUGAUGAUGGGGAACGAUUGUACAAAGAUCUAACGUGGGACACUUAUAGGAAGGCACUUGAGUCUUGAGUGUAUAGAAGUUUGAAAGCAUAUGGCAUGGCAGAGAACGCUGAAAUCCAAUUGGAAGCCCAACCUUGUCUGAAAAUUCAGUGAACACCACCAUGACUGAGGUAAGGAAUCAUGUCUUAAAUUUAGGUGUGGGCUAUUUAUUUAUUUUGUAUAUCUAUUCCCAUGGUAACUACACACUCUUCCUUUGUACGGUUAAUUUUUUUUCUUUAGAGAAGUCAUCUCUAUUGACUAUUUAGGCUAUAUCUUUUAUGUGUGUUCCCCCUAUAUUUCAUUGUUAAUGAGAGGAAGUGUACUGACAGAUAUGGCUGAUAAAUUGAGUUUGAAUUCAGAAGUAAAGCCAUUUAGGAUGUUAGCUUUUAAGGGAAACCCAAAAUCAAGUGGAAAGUCCAUUUUCCAUAUUCAUGAGAUGCAAGUGAAUUAGGAAGUCACAUUACAAACUGACUACAGUGAGGGAUGGAUAGAAUGAGUAUCUGUCCAAGCAAAUGCACCUUUAUUUGUCUUGGGGCUGUUGAUAAAAAUCUGCUGCAUAAUAGUGUCAGUUUAAAGGGUUUUCCAUUGUACGUGUUGUUUUCAAUUCUUGAUGUUUGUAUGAUUGGUAUAACUUUGUUUCAAACUACAUGUUUCUUUCAUUAUUUGUCACUUUUGUAUUUUGCUUCAGGCUUCAGUCCUAUGAAGAAUAACUACAAGGUUUUAAGAGCAAAUAUGCAAGAAACUUUAUUUUCCAAGAUCAGCAUAUAGUUUAAUAAUAUUUCACUCAUUUUCAUUCGUAUUUCUCUAGACAUACGUGUAUCACAUGAAUCUAUAAAUUUGUUAAUAUUCUUGCAGAGUUGCAGGCA
Long non-coding RNA from Glycine soja, 1177 nucleotides. RefSeq lists it as uncharacterized. The transcript has 3 exons. The record is from RefSeq and is a predicted model, not a curated record. NCBI's taxonomy places the organism in Eukaryota, Viridiplantae, Streptophyta, Magnoliopsida, Fabales, Fabaceae.